CAGGCCUAACACAUGCAAGUCGAACGCCCCGCAAGGGGAGUGGCAGACGGGUGAGUAACACGUGGGAACGUACCCUUUGGUUCGGAACAACCCUGGGAAACUAGGGCUAAUACCGGAUACGCGCGAGAGCGGAAAGGUUUACCGCCGAAGGAUCGGCCCGCGUCUGAUUAGCUAGUUGGUGAGGUAACGGCUCACCAAGGCGACGAUCAGUAGCUGGUCUGAGAGGAUGAUCAGCCACAUUGGGACUGAGACACGGCCCAAACUCCUACGGGAGGCAGCAGUGGGGAAUAUUGGACAAUGGGCGCAAGCCUGAUCCAGCCAUGCCGCGUGAGUGAUGACGGCCCUAGGGUUGUAAAGCUCUUUUACCUGGGAAGAUAAUGACGGUACCAGGAGAAUAAGCCCCGGCUAACUCCGUGCCAGCAGCCGCGGUAAU
Molecule: ribosomal RNA, 433 nt
Filed under: uncultured bacterium
Lineage: Bacteria
Description: bacterial SSU rRNA
Rfam family: Bacterial small subunit ribosomal RNA
Source: RNAcentral